UGAGCAAUCUGCCCUUCUCUUUGGAAUAAGCGUUGGAAACGACGUCUAAUGCCGAAUACGACCUCCUUUCGCAUGAUCGGAGGUGGAAAGCUCCGGCGGAGAAGGAUGAGCUCGCGGCCUAUCAGCUAGUUGGUGUGGGUAAUGGCUCACCAAGGCGACGACGGGUAGCCGGCCUGAGAGGGUGACCGGCCACACUGGGACUGAGACACGGCCCGGACUCCUACGGGAGGCAGCG
This 235-nucleotide ribosomal RNA is filed under the name uncultured bacterium. Its description in RNAcentral is "partial 16S ribosomal RNA". It matches the Rfam family "Bacterial small subunit ribosomal RNA", at positions 118 to 353 of the family's 1533-position model. The record is from RNAcentral.